UGUUUGUUGGGAUAGGCUUGUCUCAAAAUGGAAGAUUUACCACAUAACAAAAUAAUACAUUAGCAACUGUCCACUAUCCAAGUGCAAUGGUCCAAGCUGUAUUGCCAUCCUGGGAAGAAAAAAAGUUGCGAACAUCGUGGGAAAAAACGGCACUGGCGCACAUAAUGGAUGGCAACAUGGGUGCAUUUAUAGUCCAUCAUGACAUAAAAAAUCCUCUGCAUGCAACCACGAGGAGAUGGGGAAUUUACUAAGGAGUUUUGUCUAUAUAUUAUAUAAAACCUACUGUUGGGUAAGUACAUUUUGUAUUAUUUGAUUAACGUGGUUAAGUUUUACUUGUUUGACACAAAUGAACCAAAAUAAACAUUGCCAGAAUUGUCCACACUGAGUAUGGCUAAAAUUAGCUAAUAGGCUAAAAGGUACUUUGAACUUACACAUGUUAUACCAUAGUAUAAAGUAUAUUUAAUGAUAGAGUCAAAGUUAUUACUUUAGCUUAUAUAUGUAGCCUUUGAGAAUUUCUUUCAGAAAUUAAAACAUCUGAAAGAGAAAAGUUAUUUGGCAUGAUGGAAUGAUUUGAUUGCCUACACAUUGCACAUGUAAAAUGUUAAAUACUGUUCUGUAUUAAAAGCUCAGCAUAAGUGUUUGAUUAACUUCCUUUGCUUUUGUUUUGUACAAAGGAAGAGCAGAACCUAAUCCAAAUAAAAAUAAACAAGCUGUUAAAAGCCAGUUGAAGGUGGUCAACACAAACCAAAUGAAGAUGUUGCACAUUCCACAAACAAUAAAAAAAGAAGAUCAAGUUUUGUGUCCAACACACUUGGAUGAGACGUGCCCGACCCCUGACUUUGUCUACCCUACAUUAAGUUGUGAUGGCACACUUCAUGACAGUAAACAUCGGUAUCAAGAUGAUGUGAUUGAUCUAUACCCUAGAAUAAGCUGUGACACUAUGAGACGGUGACAUAAUGAACAGCCAUCUUCCAGACAACCGAAACAGUAUUGUCUACAAUACCAAAUUCUGGAUUGACGCCCCAGUACCAGAAGGCACUCCAAUCCCAGAGAGCAUCCCAUUGUGAGGUAACACAACGAAAAAAUAACAGGAUGGAGACUACCUGAUUCUUCACCUAUGGCCUUAGCUUCAAAUGCAAGAAGUCCAGCAACUUUCUGAGCUGGUGGAUAUUCUAUCAGAGACUGCAUGAACAACGUUAUGAACAGAAUGAUGUCUAAUUGUCUUAUGGCAAAGUUCAAUAUGAGGGGUGGUGGACAUCUGGAAAAUAAGUCUUUUAAAGGCACACCUUUGUAUUAUGUUAUUCAAGAUGCUGUGAGGAGGUGGAGCCCAAAAGCCACGGACUCGGAAAUCAAUGCAGCUAUGGCAGACCACCUCAAGCACGCUCCAGGAAGAGAGCUAGGGGUUGUGAAUACAAAAAAUAAGCCAAACAGAUGUAAUGUGUUAGAGAGAUUUCACACAAAAAUGAAAAUUGUUAUAAUUUUCUUACCCACGUGUUUCAAACCUGUAUACAUUUCUAUUUUUUGCUGAACACAAAGAUUGAAUAAUGUU
Non-coding RNA from Paramisgurnus dabryanus, 1549 nucleotides. Lineage: Eukaryota; Metazoa; Chordata; Actinopteri; Cypriniformes; Cobitidae. The record is from RefSeq and is a predicted model, not a curated record.